GAAAUUAUAGAUUUCUAUUCUUUUGGAACAAUACCGAGUAAAUUAGCAUGGCCCCUGGGCAAGGAUGACACAUAAAUUCAUGAAGGGUUCUAUUAAAAA
This 99-nucleotide small nuclear RNA is filed under the name Erinaceus europaeus (western European hedgehog). The record is from RNAcentral. Lineage: Eukaryota; Metazoa; Chordata; Mammalia; Eulipotyphla; Erinaceidae.